RNAcentral lists this long non-coding RNA (437 nucleotides) under Gossypium raimondii (Peruvian cotton). Its description in RNAcentral is "long non-coding RNA (GRAI_LNC005076)". The record is from RNAcentral. Lineage: Eukaryota; Viridiplantae; Streptophyta; Magnoliopsida; Malvales; Malvaceae.
UAUGAAAAACCCGAAAGAAGACUAUAGUGAUUCAAGCAAACAAGUAAAAUGAUGAUGAAAAUAAGGUGUCUAUGAUGUAUGAUUAUGAAGUAGGUGUAAUCCGGCCUGACCAACUCCCCAAACUGGUGCUCUUCAGCCGAAGAGGUUCUGGGUAUGAGGCAGUGUUUAUAAUGUAUGAUUAUGAAGUAGGUCUAAAACUUUCAUCCGGGUUGAUCACAACUCCCUGAACUGGUCCCCUUCGGCCAAAGAGGUUCCGGGUAUGAGACGGUACAGAAGCCAUCGGUUGAAAAUUUUGAGGUAGUGGUAUUUCAGCAGAGUGACCUGAAAUGCAGAGUGUCCCAGUAUCAUCUUGUUGCCAGUAGACCUCAACCAUGAUACCUCUAGGAUUCUCAGCAGAUUCUGUUCCGGGAAUCCCCACAAACCUUGCACCUAUUGGU